RNAcentral lists this long non-coding RNA (749 nucleotides) under Haliotis rubra (blacklip abalone). RNAcentral describes it as "uncharacterized LOC124272581, transcript variant X3". The record is from RNAcentral. Lineage: Eukaryota; Metazoa; Mollusca; Gastropoda; Lepetellida; Haliotidae.
CUCUUUGUCACUUGCGGCAUUUAAACGUUGCUGACAGCGGUGUUAUAUCAUGUCCUAAAAUAGAAACUUAGGUAAAUGUGUAAGUGGCGGUGGGGACGUCGUUGGAGCUAGAGCAGAUAAAGAACAUGAGACCUGUGCUGUUUUUUCUGGUGCUGGUGGGCGUGCUGACACCUGCCUCGAUCGGAGUGCCCCUCGUCAAUGACGCUGACGACAGGCAAGGACACGCAGAGCACUCCAGACAGAAACGUGCUGUUUUAAGUGCUAUUAAGGAAGUUGACUGCGGCGCCUACACGGCUGUUAAGGAAUGUACCACAGAUCUCGAUUCCUGUGGUGGUUUUGUGACUUUGUGGAUAUUGUCUGCAGUGCCAUCUCACAUUCAAGUACCGCUAUGUCGCUGUUGUGUGACACAAAUGUGGACAAAUAUGAAAGUACCGUUAUGGAUGAUUAUGGAUACAGCAGUCACGGUACUCCGAGAGAUGCUGAAAGAUUUAUCAUGAAACUUGGAGAGGACAUUGAAAACCUGCCCAAAUCAUGCUGGGAGAAAUUUGCCAAUUUCUUCAAAAAUCUCUGGAGAAGUUUUCUGGAUAGUUUUCAUGAUUAACACCCGAUUUUGAUGUAACCUUGAAUUUUGUUAGUUUGCAUCCCGAUAUUAUGGAAUACUGUAAGGGACAUUCUCGCGAUCUCGCAUUCUCGCGAUCUCGACCUUUGGAAACAAGCUAAAAAUGCCAAAAGUGCGAGAAUGCGAGAUC